Molecule: long non-coding RNA, 2078 nt
Organism: Homo sapiens (human)
Lineage: Eukaryota; Metazoa; Chordata; Mammalia; Primates; Hominidae
Exons: 1
Source: RefSeq, marked predicted
AGCUCCUCCCUAGCCCCGCGCGCGGCGGGAGCACCUGGGGAGAAGAGUCCUGGCGUCGCCUGCUACCAGCGCCGCGCUCCUCUGAACAAACACUGCCGGAGCCCUCCGUGAGCCGGCUAUUCCAGCCCAGCCCCGCGUCCGCCCGUCCCGCAGCAGGCGCGGUGAAUCGUGCGCGCUGGCGGACGAGGCGGGCUCGGCAGGACGCUGCUGUGCCGUCCCGUGUGGAUUUGGCUCCAGGUCGUCCUGAGGAUGCCGCGCAGAAGCCGUGUGGGCCUCGGGACGCAGGCCUGCGUGGCUGCAGCGCACCAGGGGAGGCUCCGGGGAUCCCGAGCUGGCGCGGACUCGCGAGACCCCCUGGCCGCUCUGCGGGGAGCGCUGGGGAGGCGUCCCGAGCGGGCGCCAGAGACCCGCGGGCUCCCCGUGCAGGGGCUGCCUGGGCUGGGGCCCGGGUGGGUCUGCGCAGGUGUGGGAAGUGCCGGCUCCCGGUAGAUGCUGAAGGCGGAGUUGCCAGGAUUUGCUGCGGACUUUUGGAGAAAUGAGGCGGGGAAGGACGAGCUUGAGAACCGACGCCGGAGAGACGGGGAAGACGGGGGAGGCCUGAGCGCGGGCUGGCAUGGCUGGGGAGGUUGUGCACUGCCCAAGAAUGCUCACUGAGGAGCGUGUUCACGUCUCAUCGUGGGUGUCUGUGUUUAUUAUGACAACUACCAGCAGCCCCCGAGGAGCAGCGACAGAUGGAGGUCGGGGGCUCUAAGCUGAACACAGGCGGUCGGUCCUCCUUCCCAGGAGCCUCAGCGUGUGUGUCCGCAGGUGCCCCUUUAUCUAGCGCCCUUGGGGGAAUGGGACGUGUCAGAGGAGAUGCAGUGGGCAGAGGCUGCACUGGAUGAAGAGAACUAUGUGGGAAUCGCAUGUGGGGUGUGACUGGGGACCAGUGCCUGAACUCUGGGACUCCAACUUGAAGAGGUUUGGAAUCUGCAAAGGAGACUAGGAAGGGGCACAGGGGGUGCUAGGGGUGGGGGCCGGAGGACAAACCAGGAGAGGGGCUUCUGGAAGCCAGAGAGGGCGUGCACACACAGGCGGGGGAGGGAGCCUGGGUGCAGCAGGGUGGGCCACUGCGACUCACCGAGGGCCAGCGGCGCUGGGGCCAGGGGCUGGAGUUUGGAGAGUGAGCAGAGAGCACGCAGGGGCUGUGAACACCAACUUCUCUUUCAGGUCAAUUUGCUGCAAAGGGGAAGGUAAAGGUGGAGGUAACUAAGGAGCAGGGCAAGAGAGGGGUGUGGUUUUCUGUAGGGUCCAGCCCUACGGGGGCUUAGCAGGUGUCCUCCCCGUGUGCAGAGACCAGAGAUUGUAAUAAAGACACGAGAUAAAGAGCAGCUGGGCCCCGGGGGACCACUACCAUCAAGACGUGGAGACCGGUAGUGGCCCUGAGCGCCUAGGUGCGCUGAUAUUUAUUGCAUACAAGACAAGGGGGCAGGGUAAGGAGGGUGAAUCUUCUAAGUGAUAAAGUGAAGCAAGUCACGUGAUCAUAGGACAGGGGGCCCUUCCCUCUUAGGCAGCCGAAGCAAAGAGAGAAGGCAGCAUAUGUCAGCAUUUUCUUCUCUGCACUUAGAAGAACGAUCAAAGACUUUAAGACUUUCACUAUUUCUUCUACCGCUAUCUACUACGAACUUCAAAGAGGAGCCAGGAGUACGGGAGGAGCAUGAAAGUGGAUAAGGAGUGUGAUCAUUCAAGCACCACAGGGAGGGGGUUAGGCCUCCGGAUGACUGCAGGCCAGGCCUGGAGAAUAUCCAGCCUCCCACAAGAAGCUGGUGGAGCAGAGUGUUCCCUGACUCCUCCAAGGAAAGGAGACUCCCUUUCACGGUCGGCUAAGUAACGGGUGCCUUCCCAGGCACUGGCGUUACCGCUUGACCAAGGAGCCCUCAAGCGGCCCUUAUGUUGGCGUGACAGAGGGCUCACCUCUUGCCUUCUAGGUCACUUCUCACAACGUCCCUUCAGCACCUGACCCUAUACCCGCCGGUUAUUCCUAGGUUGUAUUAGUAAUGCCACAAAGAGUAAUAUUAAAAGCUAAUGACUAAUAUUUA